Molecule: transfer RNA, 73 nt
Filed under: Mycobacterium phage Estes
Lineage: Duplodnaviria; Heunggongvirae; Uroviricota; Caudoviricetes; Vilmaviridae
Description: tRNA-Pro
Rfam family: tRNA
About the family: Transfer RNA (tRNA) molecules are approximately 80 nucleotides in length. Their secondary structure includes four short double-helical elements and three loops (D, anti-codon, and T loops). Further hydrogen bonds mediate the characteristic L-shaped molecular structure. tRNAs have two regions of fundamental functional importance: the anti-codon, which is responsible for specific mRNA codon recognition, and the 3' end, to which the tRNAs corresponding amino acid is attached (by aminoacyl-tRNA synthetases). tRNAs cope with the degeneracy of the genetic code in two manners: having more than one tRNA (with a specific anti-codon) for a particular amino acid; and 'wobble' base-pairing, i.e. permitting non-standard base-pairing at the 3rd anti-codon position.
Source: RNAcentral
CGGGAUAUGGUGUAAGGGUUAGCGUACCGGCGUUGGAGACCGGAUGACAUGGUUCGAGUCCAUGUAUCCCGAC